ACGCUGGCGGCGUGCUUAACACAUGCAAGUCGAACGGUAAGGCCCUUCGGGGUACACGAGUGGCGAACGGGUGGGUAACACGUGGGUGAUCUGCCCUGCACUUCGGGAUAAGCCUGGGAAACUGGGUCUAAUACCGGAUAGGACUCCUGGCUUCAUGGUUGGGGGUGUAAAGCUUUUGCGGUGUGGGAUGGGCCCGCGGCCUAUCAGCUUGUUGGUGGGGUAAUGGCCUACCAAGGCGACGACGGGUAGCCGGCCUGAGAGGGUGACCGGCCACACUGGGACUGAGAUACGGCCCAGACUCCUACGGGAGGCAGCAGUGGGGAAUAUUGCACAAUGGGCGCAAGCCUGAUGCAGCGACGCCGCGUGAGGGAUGACGGCCUUCGGGUUGUAAACCUCUUUCAAUAGGGACGAAGCGCAAGUGACGGUACCUAUAGAAGAAGGACCGGCCAACUACGUG
This 457-nucleotide ribosomal RNA is filed under the name uncultured bacterium. RNAcentral describes it as "bacterial SSU rRNA". It matches the Rfam family "Bacterial small subunit ribosomal RNA", at positions 33 to 507 of the family's 1533-position model. The record is from RNAcentral.